Molecule: long non-coding RNA, 410 nt
Organism: Acanthopagrus latus (yellowfin seabream)
Lineage: Eukaryota; Metazoa; Chordata; Actinopteri; Spariformes; Sparidae
Exons: 3
Source: RefSeq, a predicted model, not a curated record
AGGGCGUUCAUUUUGUUUUUUAAAUCACAGCAGCUAUUUUGGCGGGAGUUUUAAUGUAAAGCACAUAACGAGUUUUGGUGCUAGUAUCUAUGUCAACCCAUAGCUAUUCACUUAUAUACCAGGUAAUGCUAUAUGAGUACUCUCUCUUUAUCUGAGAAGGAUAAAGGUCUGGGCCUGCAGUCGAAGAUGGAUUGUUUUGGAUACUCCUGGUGCAUGUGGAUGGAUUCCAAACUAAUGCUUCUAGCAACCAUCUGACAUUUCUCAAGGCACACCACCACAACAUACUCUCAUGUACAAAUUGUAGAUCAUAAAUCAAGAUGUCAUGGCAAAUACUUGGAAAUAAUGACUGGAACACAGAAGAUUAGUGCUGGCUAAGAAUAUCUGCCCAUAUGCCAGUAAGUCACACCAAC